RNAcentral lists this ribosomal RNA (403 nucleotides) under Fusobacteriota bacterium. RNAcentral describes it as "Fusobacteria bacterium partial 16S ribosomal RNA". It matches the Rfam family "Bacterial small subunit ribosomal RNA", at positions 355 to 776 of the family's 1533-position model. Lineage: Bacteria; Fusobacteriati; Fusobacteriota. The record is from RNAcentral.
UGGGGAAUCUUGCACAAUGGGGGAAACCCUGAUGCAGCGACGCCGCGUGAGCGAUGAAGGUUUUCGAAUCGUAAAGCUCUGUCCUAUGGGAAGAUAAUGACGGUACCAUGGGAGGAAGCCCCGGCUAACUACGUGCCAGCAGCCGCGGUAAUACGUAGGGGGCGAGCGUUGUCCGGAAUUACUGGGCGUAAAGGGUUCGCAGGCGGCAUGGCAAGUCCGAUGUAAAAGGCGAAGGCUCAACCUUCGUAAGCAUCGGAAACUGUCAAGCUUGAGUGAAGGAGAGGCAAGUGGAAUUCCUAGUGUAGCGGUGAAAUGCGUAGAUAUUAGGAGGAAUACCAGUGGCGAAGGCGACUUGCUGGACUUCAACUGACGCUGAGGAACGAAAGCGUGGGUAGCAAACAGG